ACUUUCUGCAGGUGUGUUAUAUUUCAUAAAAGGGCUCCACCUGUGUUACUUUCCUGAGUUUCAGGCUCACUUACUUAAAAAUACCUGACGGACACCUCCACCGAUCUGUUUCAAUGGCGCCUCAAACCCCACCCACCUCGAGAGGAAUUCAUUUCACCUGAAGGAGCUCCUGUGCCCACCGAGCUCCCAGCCAGAGGCGGGACGCGUCUUCUCUUCUGGGAACAUUCAGGAGACUUCAUUGCCACCUGGAAAGGGACAGAGCAUUCAGCGUGAAGAGUCUGCCACAAGCACAGGUGCAGAGGUGGCCCGUCAGGGGUUCCAGCAGAGCGCGAACUGCCCGGGACUUAUAAGGCGGGCUUGGCGUCGGGAGAUUGAUUUUUUAAAACAAAUCUGCUGGGUCUGCAGUUCUGCUGUUCGGCAUUGAAUGUGACGGCGCUUGAUGGGGGCAUUAUUUCCCAUUGAUCACUUUUCAAUAAGUGACAGAAAGACCACAUUCCUAAGCUGGGUGCAGAAUCAUGCAUAUUUAAAUCCAAGCUAUUUAGCAUGCAAGAAAAUAAUUAAGUCAUGAUCACCAUCUUAUGUUUGGUGAUUUGAUCAUUGAUUUUUACAGCUCUUAUCUGAAUUCUGUAGUAACUCACUAAAAGGGCUUGGAGGAGAUGGUUAUUUUAAUACUGCAGCAAACAGUCUCAUAUUCACGGGUUCAAAGAACAAGGGAUCUAGAGAAGAACCAGCUAUUACGCGGUUCAGUCUCGUAAAUACCUGGCGACGACACCGUUCCAUUGGGCGAAGGGACGCUUUCAAAGUGGCAAAGCUAAUUAGGGUAAGGGCUGGCACCCACGACUCCUGACUCCCCGUUUAAGGUUCUGUCUUACUCUCUUUAAGACUUAAAAUAACUACAUAAAUGCUUCAGGGUCUUAGCUCGUGUACGGCGAAAAGGGCAGCAUUCGGUGUUCUUUGAUUUAUCUGGUACAAAUAGAUGGGUUUUUCAUACAAAUAAACAAUGACAAAAAAGACAGUAAAGGUUUUAUAGUGGAGUUUUAAAAAUGUGCUUUCAUCAGUUGUGACACACGUACCACACCAAGACAAGGUGCAAAUGAGAGGCUGGCCGAGGGGAGUCCUGUACGGGACGCCCCACGAUCUGUCAACCCCAGCUUCUCCAGCGAAGGACGGGGGCUUCACCUCGUGACCACUUCGCGCCAGGUCACCGGUCAUUGGUCCUUCACCCUCUGUAUCUCCAGUCCUCCCCGAAGGAGGGAGGUGGGGAUCACGUCAUGGAUGAGCAAUCCCAGAGAAUUUCUCAGAGAAAUGGAGCACCUCGUCUGGGAUCCAGCCCACAUAGCGUGAGCUCGCUGAUCUGGUAGGAAUCAGAACAACCCUGUGCUACGGGGCCCUCCAAAUCAGAGACCACCCCAGAGCGAGGGCCGGGCGGCCUCGUGCCUCCUCGGUCUGGGUGACCCUGCGACUGCACAUCGGCUUCCUGCUACCCGCUAGAGGACUGGAGCCUACGGAAGGAAACACCGGGGGAGCUGUCGUGGCCAUUCACUUGCUGCUUAAUCCAACAACAUUUAUGAAUUGUCUAAAGCUACAGUGUUAAAGAUUCUGAGCUUUGGGAAAUGGGAGGCAGAAAGGGAGAGAGACGCAGGCUUCCGACAAGGCACGCCGUUGCUCGCUCUGGGACCCGGGGCCGCUGGCCGGAGAGGCGACCUCAGCUCCUCUUCCGUGCCUUGAAAUAACAGCUGAGGCGUGGCGCUGGUGUGCAGCCUGCUGCUUCUCGCUCAGGGGCGCUCUCUAAACUCAGGGAAUUUGUAGGUUUAUAGAAAAAUCACGCAUUUGGUACAGGUUUUCCCUACACCACCCUGUCGUUACCACCUGGCAUUAGUGUGCUACAUUGGUUACAACUCACCAAAGAACAUUUUUAUAAUAGUACGAUUAACUACAGUCCAUCUUUACAAUGAUGUUUGUGUUAUAUGGGCCUAUGAUGUUUUGUUUCUUUUAAUUUUUAUUCUGAUAAUAUAUAUACAACCCAAACUUUCCACCCGGGG
RNAcentral lists this long non-coding RNA (2042 nucleotides) under Dasypus novemcinctus (nine-banded armadillo). Its description in RNAcentral is "lncRNA (ENSDNOG00000051891.1)". Lineage: Eukaryota; Metazoa; Chordata; Mammalia; Cingulata; Dasypodidae. The record is from RNAcentral.